GCUGUUAAAAGUAUCAUUAUCAAUCAUCAUCUCACUCAGAGCUCAGACUUACUUUACUCUUCGAUAGUGUCUCAUUUUACAUGCUGAGAAAACAACAGGUAACCUGUUCUACCCACAAAGCAGACUCAAAGAUAAUUGUUUUAUUUCAUUAUUUAAAUUUUUAGACAGAGAAGAAAGAGAGAGAAUAAUGAAGAGAGAACAACAACACACAAGAUCACAGGAGAAGAGUUGUUAUAAACUCCUUAGAUAUGAGAGCAUCGUUACACGACCAAACUUCGCUCAUGAUGAUAACAGACCAACAGAUUAUGCAUCAGAGAGACAACACAACAAAAGCCACUUGGAAUUCAGUGGACAAUGAGACACACAUGCAAAAUGAGAAUUCAGAGACGAUUAAUUACGUAAAGAAAAUCUGCUAUACUUUUACGAAAAUGGGCCAAAGGUGCAGAGGAUGCCAUAUUUUUUACAUUGCCUCCCAUUGACAAAUCGCUUCACUGUAUUGUUUCCUUUAUCUUCUCUGUAAGUCGCUUUGGAUAAAAGCAUCUGCUAAAUGCCUGAAUGUAAAUGUUAUUUGUGCAGUUGUAUAGUUGUGUACCGUAUUGUGUUGCAUGACCAGUUCACAUUGUUCUUUGGUUUUUGAACUGUUCUUGUCUUGUAAGAUCAUCUUCAUCUACUUUACAGUAGUGUAUGUUUUAUUUGUAUUCUUUCCUAAAGCUCAUUCUUCCAUUUAGCUCUAUCUGCACUCUUUUAUGGUGUAUAUUUAAAUUUUUCUUGAAUCUCAAUAAGAGGUUUUAGUAACAGUGUUUUGAAUUGAACUCACCAGUGUCUAAGACUAUGUUGUAGUGUGGGUGUUUUUGAGGGCUUCUGUGUCAUUUCUGGAGGGAAAGUUUGGUUUUUCAGCAAGUUUGAAUGAUUUUGAGAAGAGUUUCAUUUUGACCUGAAAAUAGGAUGUUUGGGGAAUUGGGUGAGAUGUUAUGGAUUUGUGUUUACUGUUUUGAGAAUAUGAGGCAUAAUUUCAAGAAAUGUGUUUAAGCAAUCAAGAAAAACUGUAAACAAAUUGGUGAUGUUGAUAGGGUAACAAAAAGAGAUGUCAUUUUGAAUCAAACCUUCACUAUAUGUUUUGUGUAAUGUAUGUGUCACACUUUUCACCUGUCCUGCACCUAUUGUAAUGCAAUAACUUUCCCAUCAAAAUCCAAUUGAGGUUAUUGUUACUGCAAACCCUUCAAUGAUGUACGGUGCCGGCUAAACAUUUUUGGAAAAAAAUUAAUCUGGCACAACUUGCCUACUUAUCCUCAUGAUUCUGUCAGACCCUGUAUAUAAAUCUCCCAUUUUACUAGAUGGAAAAUUGUAUUUUCUUUAUUCUAAAAAAUUAAAUAAAAUCAUUGAAUGUGAAAUAUAAACGAUUUCAAUUCAUUUAUUUAUUUCAUAUCAAUUCAGAAUUUUAAUUAAUGUACUUUGCUUUUCAUACCUUAAGCAUGUUAUUUGGCAAUGUUGUGAAUAUUUUAUAAAUAAAUAAUGUAUAGUCACUAUUACACACUAGGGGGCGUAUUACCAGAACACCAACAGUACAUUAAAAAAAAAAAAGAGAACACCCUUUUCUAAGGUCCAGUAUCUUUGUUCAAGGUUUUAAAGGAGCAAGCAGUCUAUUUAUUUAUAAAUAAACAUGCUGAGCAGUUUGGACAUUGUUAACAAUAUAAUUCAAAUUAUAAAUAUUAAAAACGCACGCAUUUUCUAUCGUCAUGUAAAUUCUAUGUAAAAAAUCUUCUCAGAUAAACAAUUUUGCUAAACCCAUUUUGCGUUUAAAUCUUUCAGAAAUGUUUCUUUUCAAACAGUUGUCAUUUUACUAAGAUGUGACAGAGGCUAUUCACGUGAAGUCUUUCUCUAAAAAUCUUGUGUGUGACUGGGGUUAAUCUUGUCUGGGAAACCAGCCCUCUCGGUUAUUCAAGGUCAAAGCUUUUGAAAACAAGUACCCAAGUACAGUCUUUUCCCAUGUUUAUACUUUCCGCAAAUGUUCUUUUGUCACUAAAAGCUGUAAAUUACAAAGCUGUUCAUGUUUGAUCACAAUCUUAUCGUAGGGGCCACACUCCUGUUCCUGCUGAACUGAG
This is a long non-coding RNA of Triplophysa rosa, 2102 nucleotides long. RefSeq lists it as uncharacterized. Lineage: Eukaryota; Metazoa; Chordata; Actinopteri; Cypriniformes; Nemacheilidae. The record is from RefSeq and is a predicted model, not a curated record. The transcript is spliced from 4 exons.